This 336-nucleotide unclassified non-coding RNA is filed under the name Hevea brasiliensis (rubber tree). Lineage: Eukaryota; Viridiplantae; Streptophyta; Magnoliopsida; Malpighiales; Euphorbiaceae. The record is from RNAcentral.
GGGCAACAGGUCUCCUUACGGGCCCUUCAGCUUGAGAGCUCCUGAUGGUCAAAGAACAAGGCUUUGUUAGUGUGGAAAAUCUAAAACAAUAGGAGGUGGAAGUUGUUGAUGAAGAGGAAGAUGGAGGAGAGGAGCAUGAUGAUGAUGAUGAUGAUGGGUUUGGGAUUCUUAUGCAAGGUAUUGAGGAGGCCACUGACAUCUUCCUCUUUCUUUCUCAAGUCCCUGUAGCUAUAGAUUUCUUGUUGGUGGGUUUUGGGUACGCGGGCGUGCUAUCAGAAUCAGAAGAUAUGUGUGUGGAAGAGGUGUGGCCAAGUCCCCAGCGGCGAAGAUGGUACC